RNAcentral lists this ribosomal RNA (2206 nucleotides) under Klebsiella pneumoniae. RNAcentral describes it as "bacterial LSU rRNA". It matches the Rfam family "Bacterial large subunit ribosomal RNA", at positions 1 to 2236 of the family's 2925-position model. Lineage: Bacteria; Pseudomonadati; Pseudomonadota; Gammaproteobacteria; Enterobacterales; Enterobacteriaceae. The record is from RNAcentral.
UUAAGCGACUAAGCGUACACGGUGGAUGCCCUGGCAGUCAGAGGCGAUGAAGGACGUGCUAAUCUGCGAAAAGCGUCGGUAAGGUGAUAUGAACCGUUAUAACCGGCGAUGUCCGAAUGGGGAAACCCAGUGCAAUUCGUUGCACUAUCGUUAACUGAAUACAUAGGUUAACGAGGCGAACCGGGGGAACUGAAACAUCUAAGUACCCCGAGGAAAAGAAAUCAACCGAGAUUCCCCCAGUAGCGGCGAGCGAACGGGGAGCAGCCCAGAGUCUGAAUCAGCUUGUGUGUUAGUGGAACGGUCUGGAAAGUCCGACGGUACAGGGUGAUAGUCCCGUACACCAAAAUGCACAGGUUGUGAACUCGAAGAGUAGGGCGGGACACGUGGUAUCCUGUCUGAAUAUGGGGGGACCAUCCUCCAAGGCUAAAUACUCCUGACUGACCGAUAGUGAACCAGUACCGUGAGGGAAAGGCGAAAAGAACCCCGGCGAGGGGAGUGAAAAAGAACCUGAAACCGUGUACGUACAAGCAGUGGGAGCACCUUCGGGUGUGACUGCGUACCUUUUGUAUAAUGGGUCAGCGACUUAUAUUCUGUAGCAAGGUUAACCGUAUAGGGGAGCCGCAGGGAAACCGAGUCUUAACUGGGCGUUAAGUUGCAGGGUAUAGACCCGAAACCCGGUGAUCUAGCCAUGGGCAGGUUGAAGGUUGGGUAACACUAACUGGAGGACCGAACCGACUAAUGUUGAAAAAUUAGCGGAUGACUUGUGGCUGGGGGUGAAAGGCCAAUCAAACCGGGAGAUAGCUGGUUCUCCCCGAAAGCUAUUUAGGUAGCGCCUCGUGAAUUCAUCUUCGGGGGUAGAGCACUGUUUCGGCUAGGGGGUCAUCCCGACUUACCAACCCGAUGCAAACUACGAAUACCGAAGAAUGUUAUCACGGGAGACACACGGCGGGUGCUAACGUCCGUCGUGAAGAGGGAAACAACCCAGACCGCCAGCUAAGGUCCCAAAGUCAUGGUUAAGUGGGAAACGAUGUGGGAAGGCACAGACAGCCAGGAUGUUGGCUUAGAAGCAGCCAUCAUUUAAAGAAAGCGUAAUAGCUCACUGGUCGAGUCGGCCUGCGCGGAAGAUGUAACGGGGCUAAACCAUGCACCGAAGCUGCGGCAGCGACACUAUGUGUUGUUGGGUAGGGGAGCGUUCUGUAAGCCUGCGAAGGUGACCUGUGAGGGUUGCUGGAGGUAUCAGAAGUGCGAAUGCUGACAUAAGUAACGAUAAAGCGGGUGAAAAGCCCGCUCGCCGGAAGACCAAGGGUUCCUGUCCAACGUUAAUCGGGGCAGGGUGAGUCGACCCCUAAGGCGAGGCCGAAAGGCGUAGUCGAUGGGAAACAGGUUAAUAUUCCUGUACUUGGUGUUACUGCGAAGGGGGGACGGAGAAGGCUAUGUUAGCCGGGCGACGGUUGUCCCGGUUUAAGCAUGUAGGCUGAUUAUCCAGGCAAAUCCGGAUAAUCAAGGCUGAGGUGUGAUGACGAGGCACUACGGUGCUGAAGUAACAAAUGCCCUGCUUCCAGGAAAAGCCUCUAAGCAUCAGGUAACAUCAAAUCGUACCCCAAACCGACACAGGUGGUCAGGUAGAGAAUACCAAGGCGCUUGAGAGAACUCGGGUGAAGGAACUAGGCAAAAUGGUGCCGUAACUUCGGGAGAAGGCACGCUGGUGUGUAGGUGAAGUCCCUGCGGAUGGAGCUGAGACCAGUCGAAGAUACCAGCUGGCUGCAACUGUUUAUUAAAAACACAGCACUGUGCAAACACGAAAGUGGACGUAUACGGUGUGACGCCUGCCCGGUGCCGGAAGGUUAAUUGAUGGGGUUAUCCGUAAGGAGAAGCUCUUGAUCGAAGCCCCGGUAAACGGCGGCCGUAACUAUAACGGUCCUAAGGUAGCGAAAUUCCUUGUCGGGUAAGUUCCGACCUGCACGAAUGGCGUAAUGAUGGCCAGGCUGUCUCCACCCGAGACUCAGUGAAAUUGAACUCGCUGUGAAGAUGCAGUGUACCCGCGGCAAGACGGAAAGACCCCGUGAACCUUUACUAUAGCUUGACACUGAACAUUGAGCCUUGAUGUGUAGGAUAGGUGGGAGGCUUUGAAGCGUGGACGCCAGUCUGCGUGGAGCCAACCUUGAAAUACCACCCUUUAAUGUUUGAUGUUCUAACGUUGGCCCCU